AAUCCUAGGUCAUCUAAAAACCAAAGCUUUUAUACCUCAUGGUGGAGCCAAUGGCACCUAUGAGAGGAUCUACCAUGGGAUCCCUGUGGUGGGCCUUCUUUGUUUGUAAAUUAACCUGAUAAGUUUGCUCACAUGAAGGCUAAGGCAUAAGCUGUUAGAGUAGACUCAAAAACAAUGUCAACUAUAGAUUUGAUCAAUGCAUGAAAAGCAGUCAUUAAUGACUCUUCCUUUAGCAGUAAAGAGAAUGUUAUAUGGUUAUCGGUCAUUCAUUAUGAUCAGCUUAUGAAGCCCAUGGACCAAAAAGUCUUCUGGAUCAAGUUUGUCAUGCGCCACAGAGGAGCCAAGUACUUGCCGCCACCUGCGAAAAACCUCAUCUGGUUCCAGCACUGCUCUCUGGUUGUGCUGGCCUGCGAGGCAAUUUUUACUCUUUUUUCAUAAUAUGUUCCUUGUUUGAUUAUCAAAAGUUUGUUAAGACAAGAAAGAAAAAAAAG
RNAcentral lists this long non-coding RNA (491 nucleotides) under Homo sapiens (human). RNAcentral's name for it is "non-protein coding lnc-UGT2A3-8:1". Lineage: Eukaryota; Metazoa; Chordata; Mammalia; Primates; Hominidae. The record is from RNAcentral.